GGGCCCGCACAAGCGGUGGAGUAUGUGGUUUAAUUCGAUGCAACGCGAAGAACCUUACCAGGGUUUGACAUCCUGCGAAUCUCUUGGAAACAGGAGAGUGCCUUCGGGAACGCAGUGACAGGUGGUGCAUGGCUGUCGUCAGCUCGUGUCGUGAGAUGUUGGGUUAAGUCCCGCAACGAGCGCAACCCACGUCUUUAGUUGCCAGCAUUUAGUUGGGCACUCUAGAGAGACUGCCGGUGAUAAACCGGAGGAAGGUGUGGAUGACGUCAAGUCAUCAUGCCCCUUACAUCCUGGGCUACACACGUACUACAAUGGCAUCUACAGUGGGUUAAUCCCCAAAAGAUGUCU
This 348-nucleotide ribosomal RNA is filed under the name uncultured bacterium. RNAcentral's name for it is "bacterial SSU rRNA". It matches the Rfam family "Bacterial small subunit ribosomal RNA", at positions 917 to 1288 of the family's 1533-position model. The record is from RNAcentral.